AAAGUCAAAAACCAAAAAGAAAAAUCAUCAUCGAGUUAAGUUUGGUUUCUUGACCUCACUUUUUUCUGUCAUGUUAUUCUUUUCAUGUUUUUUUUUUUGUUUGUUUUUUUCGUUUUAUUUUUUUCCCAAUAC
Molecule: non-coding RNA, 132 nt
Filed under: Protocruzia adhaerens
Lineage: Eukaryota; Ciliophora; Spirotrichea
Source: RNAcentral